UUAUAACCAUUCACCCCAAUUGGUCUUACUAUCAAAACAUAACCAGCUUUUUACUUCAGUUCCCAUCACAAUACUUGAUAGGAUUUCAAAAUAUAUGCAUAUGCUUAGUAAUAUAGAUUCAACAGGAAAUCCUCAAUCAAAUCGCAUGUAUCAAUCAGCAAAUCAAGCAAGAGUUCUAAUCCUAUAUCGGCUUCUUCAUACUUACAUAUAGGAAAAACCAAUAGUCCUCAUAUUUAAACAAUAUUCCAGUCCCUUUAACAAAUCAAUCAGCUAAAUUAAAAUAUCUACCUAAAGCUUUCAAAACUCAAAGAGAAUUAGCAACAAAAUGAUCAAAUGUACACCUAACAGGAAACUAAAACUAACUGCGGAAUCGACUAAUUUCAAGAGUGCAGAAGACAUUAUUGAAUAAACUGAUAUGUCAUAGAUUUUCAGCUCAAACCAAACAACUUCAUGUUCUUCCAUUUCACAUGUCAAGGAAAUGUAGUGAAUACCUGGCUACAACAGCAAAACAACAAGGAAAAAUGAGCUGGGAGUUUAAGAAGCAACAACAGCAAAGUAUCAGCAGCUAAAACAGCCAAACAAUCAGCAAUUACUCAACCUUUUGACCCAGCUUCAAACCCAAAAUCAAUACAACUUUCAGAGCUUUUGAAAAAUCUGACUAACAGGGAACUUAAGGAGCAGGGACCAACCAAUUCUAGGCAAAUUUCAGUAUUUUAGAGUCUAGAAGAAGCUUAGUUGUUCCUAAAGUUUUUCAGUAUUUUUCAAUCUCUAAAUUCUAACUUGGAAGUGAAGAAACAAACCUAUAUAGUGAAGCUUUAGGGCAGCAGAAAUAAGUUCAGUUUUUGCCCUUUACUCCUUUUUGAAUUUUCGUUUUUGCUCCUAUGUCCUUAAUUUAAAAAUCAUUUUUUUCAAAAUAGCCCUAAUCCCACCUUCCUAGAAGUUUCCCCAAUCAGUUACAAUAGAUUCCCUAACCUAAAUUCCCUAAACUACCCCUUAAACCCUUGUUAUUUACCCUUGGAACCAAACGGGUCAAAUUGACCCAAAGUUCAGCCAGACAUGGGCUUGCAAAAACCUGGGCUAAUCCCUUUUCUUUAGGUUUUUGACUUAAUAGAACCCAAUUUAAUUCAUAAAGGAACUCCCCAAACAAAGUAAUAUAAAUAUGAAACAUGAGACCUUUAUUUUCGAAACAAAUUAAAAUAUUAAGAGACAAAGAAAAUCAACACAUGUUUAACAAAGCAAUUAAUUUAAACUAAUUGUGACUUAAUCCUAAUUAUGCACAAAAUAUUUAACCAACAAAAAACAGAGAAAAGGAAAUAGAAAAUCAGAAGAGAUGAGGAGUGGAAUGAACAAAAAUAAAGAAAGAACUUAAAUACCUAGAGUAAAGGACGGAAAUGGCUUGAAAGGACCUCUACCUCUUUCGAUUUCGAGCCGCAAUUGGUAUUCGUCGUGGAUUCUUGUUAAAAACCGACGAGAAACAACAAUUACGACCCUAACCAAGUCAUCGAAGCCUGAAAAAACUUGGGAGAAUUUUGCUUUCGCUCUUCUACCCUUUUUUAGAUCUGAAAUUAGCUUCGCUUGGUGUUGAUUUGAAGGAAUAUGGUGAUGGCUUGUGGGUCAGGGGUGAAUAAUUGUUAUGUGGUGUUUAUUUGGGGGUUGAUUGGAGGUGGCUUGGCCGGUGAAAAUGGUGGAUUUUUAGAGGCGGCGCUAGGGUUUACAUGAAAGAGAUGAGAGAGAUGGACCGAGGGGGUUAUGUUUGGACU
Molecule: long non-coding RNA, 1760 nt
Filed under: Nicotiana tabacum (common tobacco)
Lineage: Eukaryota; Viridiplantae; Streptophyta; Magnoliopsida; Solanales; Solanaceae
Description: long non-coding RNA (NTAB_LNC002959)
Source: RNAcentral